This 82-nucleotide transfer RNA is filed under the name Thiomonas sp. CB2. RNAcentral describes it as "Pseudo tRNA". Lineage: Bacteria; Pseudomonadati; Pseudomonadota; Betaproteobacteria; Burkholderiales. The record is from RNAcentral.
CGUGCUGUACCGAUUCCACUCGUCAAGGGAGAUGGGCCUCAUAACCCGAAGGUCACAGGUUCAAAUCCUGUCCCCGCAACCA